UCCGGUUUCGCACCGGCGGUCUUCCUAGAGUCCCCGACAUUACUCGCUGGCAACUAGGAACGGGGGUUGCGCUCGUUGCGGGACUUAACCCAACACCUCACGGCACGAGCUGACGACAGCCAUGCAGCACCUGUACAAAUGCCCUUGCGGGAGGGGUACUUUCAUACCCCGUCAUUUGCAUUUCAAGCCUAGGUAAGGUUCUUCGCGUUGCAUCGAAUUAAACCACAUGCUCCACUGCUUGUGCGGGCCCCCGUCAAUUCCUUUGAGUUUCAACCUUGCGAUCGUACUCCCCAGGUGGAAUACUUAAUGCGUUAGCUGCGGCACUGACCCUAAAAGGGCCAACACCUAGUAUUCAUCGUUUACAGCGUGGACUAC
Molecule: unclassified non-coding RNA, 375 nt
Filed under: uncultured Ignavibacteriales bacterium
Lineage: Bacteria; Pseudomonadati; Ignavibacteriota; Ignavibacteria; Ignavibacteriales
Description: contains 16S-23S intergenic spacer region
Source: RNAcentral